UGCUCAACUUGACAAGCCUUGGGUCGAUCCUCGAGCUACUAACAGGGUGCAGUCUGUUGCACUUGUUAGUGACAGGUGCAGUCUGUUUUACAAGUCAUUGUGCGGAAGUAUUUUCGCUAAUUAUUGGUGUUUGCUAAAAAAAGAAUCACAGUUGCUAUUGCUCAUAUUCAUAGAUUGUGACACUUUAAAUGUUUUUGGACUCCAUUGACUUUCAAUUUAUGGACAGUAACAGUUCUUCAAAGUAUCUUUUGUGUUCCACAGAAGAAAGAACAUCUUAUAGAUUUGGAACAACAUGAGGUUUCUUCCCUGACUUCAAGACAAACAGCAAUGGCGUCCAUCUUACCUCUUCCCAUUGAUGGAUGUAACGAAUCAGUCUGGACAGUCUGAGAAGUCGCAGUAAACUGAGGAUCUUGGUGAAACGCACUAUCCGCAACGCUCUGGCCGUCUUGUAAACUUCAGAGUCAAUGCCUUUCUCAACGAUGAGAAAGAUAUAAUCCACCGGGAUGGAUGAGACAAAGUCCACCACAAACCACGUCUUCAGGUAUUUCAUCUUGAUCUUUUGAGGGUCCAGUAUUAUCUCAGUGUUGUCUUCGUAGACUAUGCCCGUACGGAAAUUCAGUACAAGGUCCAUGAGGAAGAACGUGUCGGACACGACGUUGAAGAUAAUCCAAGGGGUGGUGGUUUCCUCCUUGAAGAAGGUGAUGCCCACAGGAAUGAUAAUCAAGUUGCCCACCAUAAACAUUAGCAUUGUGAAAUCCCAGUAGAACCUGCGUGGAGAAUAAAGGGAACAGACUUCAUCCUGAGAGGCUGAGGGGAUCAUUUCUGAACUUUGAAGUAAGUGUCCUGUCUGAAUUUCCCUUUGCAGUUUAUCCAGCUUUUGCGCAAAGGGAUUUCCAUAAAUGUUCUGGUAAAUUACACACACCUGGUGACGUGAAACGGCUUUAGUGAAGCUGUUGCUGUUGUACGUCGGCCAUCAAUGAUUAAUCUCAGUUUACUAACAAUCAAAUUAAUGUGAGGUCCUAAUCCUUAUUACGAACUAUAAUUAGUAUUGUGCAUUGUGCGUGUUUAAUAUUCAGGCCUAUGGGUUGUUGCGUUGAAAGAGCGCCUUUUGUUUCCCUCAUCAGCAUGUGUGUAAAUAAUGACACACACUAAUGCCAACUGGUACUCUGUUGUUACAGGCGUUUUUA
Labeo rohita (rohu) is the source of this 1187-nucleotide long non-coding RNA. RefSeq lists it as uncharacterized. The record is from RefSeq and is a predicted model, not a curated record. Lineage: Eukaryota; Metazoa; Chordata; Actinopteri; Cypriniformes; Cyprinidae. The transcript is spliced from 3 exons.